This is a long non-coding RNA of Hemiscyllium ocellatum (epaulette shark), 2685 nucleotides long. RefSeq lists it as uncharacterized. The transcript has 3 exons. NCBI's taxonomy places the organism in Eukaryota, Metazoa, Chordata, Chondrichthyes, Orectolobiformes, Hemiscylliidae. The record is from RefSeq and is a predicted model, not a curated record.
UUUCUCACCUUUCGCCCGCUAUCCGAUCUCCCAAAGCCUCGGCCGCGUCCUCCUCCAUCCCUUGCGUCGAACCUGGCUCCGGCCGCCCGCUUUUAACCGCCUUUUGCCCUCCAUUUUCCACCAAAUGUUAACAAAGAAAAUCUCCGGCUACGUCAGCGCUCGCCCCGCGGGCGCCCGCCCAUUGGACGCCCCGCGGUCACGUGACGCGCCGCCGGCUUUCAAACACUUUUUUCUCGCUCGACGGCCACCGCUUUCCAGCCUUCCUUCCUCGAAAUGCAGCAUUGGCGCUUCGGUGCAUCGACUCCCAUGAUGGUGUGUAUGGAAUGAGCUGCCAAUGGAGGUGGUCGAGACAUGUACAAUUCAAAAAGCAUCUAGAUGGGUACAUGAAUAAGCAAGGCCAAAUGCAGGUCUUGGCUGAUGUCAUCAGUCUUCAGAAAUCUGACUCCAGUCAUGAACGUGCUGCGUAAUGAUUGAGCUUCUGAGGUCAGGAAAUUCAAAUAUUCAUCAUUCUCUGGAUGAAGAAAUUUCUUCUAAUUUCAAUCUGAAAUGGUCUCUCCCUUAUCCUGUUCAUAUCCACCCUUGUCCCCUGGUUCUUGACUCGCCAGCCAGGGGAAAUAACCUGUUCACAUCUACCCUGCCAUGCCCUGUACAAAAUUUGUAAGUUUCAAUAAGAUCACCUCUCAUUUACAGUCGUCGAGAUAUACAGGAUGGAAACAGACCCUUCGAUCCAACCCAUCCAUGCCGACCAGAUAUCCCAACACAAUACAGUCCCACCUGCCAGCACCCAGCCCAUAUCCCUCCAAACCCUUCCUAUUCAUAUACCCAUCCAGAUGCCUUUUAAAGGUUGCAGUUGGACCAGCCUCCACCACAUCCUCUGGCAGCUCAUUCCAUACACAUACCACCCUCUGUGUGAAAAAGUUGCCCCUCAGGUGUCUUUUAUAUUUUUCCCCCCUCACCCUAAACCUAUGCCCUCUAGUCCUGAACUCCCCCACUCCAGGAAAAAGACCUUGUCUAUUUACCCUAUCUACGCCCCUCAUGAUUUUUUAACCCUUUAUGAAGUCACCCUUCAGCCUCUGACCCUCCAGGAAAAACACCUCCAGCCUGUUCAGCCUCUUCCUAUAGCUCAAAUCCUCCAACCCUGGCAACGUCCUUGUUAAUCUUUUCUGAAUCCUUUCAAAUUUCACAACAUCCUUCUGAUAGGAGGCAGACCAGAAUUGCAUGCAAUAUUCCAAAAGUGACCUAACCAAUGUCCUGUACAGCCACAACAUGACCUCCCAACUCCUGUACUCAAUACUCUGACCAAUAAAAGAAAGCAUACCAAACGCCUUCUUCACUAUCCUAUCUACCUGCGACUCUACUUUCAAGGAGCUAUGAACCUGCACUCCAAGGUUUCUUUGUUCAGCAACACUCCCUAGGACCUUACCAUUAAGUGUAUAAGUCCUGCUCGGGUUUUGCUUUCCCAAAAUGCAGCACCUCGCAUCUAUCAGAAUUAAUCUCCAUCUACCACUUCUCAGCCAAUUGGCUUAUCUGAUCAAGAUCCUAUUGUAACCUGAUCAACCUCCUUCGCUGUCCACCUCCAAUUUUGGUGUCAUCUGCAAACUUAUUAACUAUACCGCUUGAGCUCAUAUCCAAAUCAUUUAUGUAAAUGACAAAAAGUAUUGGACCCAGCAUUGAUUCUUGUGGCACUCCACUGGUCACAGGCCUCCAGUCUGAAAAACAACCCUCCACCAUCACCCUGUCUUCUACCUUUGAGGCAGUUCUAUAUCCAAAUGGCUAGUUCUCCCUGUAUUCCAUGCGAUCUAACCUUGUUAACCAGUCUCCCAUGGUGAACCUUGUCGAAUGCCUUACUGAAGGCCACAUAGAUCACAUCUACUUCUCUGUCCUCAUCAAUCCUCUUUGUUAAUUCUUCAAAAAAUACGCAAUCAAGUUUGUGAGACAUGAUUUCCCAUGCACAAAGCCAUGUUGACUAUCCAUAAUCAGUCCUUACCUUCCCAAAUACAUGUACAUCCUUUCCCUCAGAAUUCCCUCCAACAACUUGCCCACCACCGACAUCAGGCUCACUGGUCUAUAGUUCCCUGGCUUGUCCUUACCACCUUUCUUAAAUAGUGGCACCACGUUUGCCAACCUCCAGUCUUCUAGCACCUCAUUCUGUGACUAUCGAUGAAUCAGAAACCUCAGCAAGGGGCCCAGCAAUCACUUCCCCAGCUUCCCAGAGUUCUCGGGUAUACCUGAUCAGGUCCUGGGGAUUUAGCCACUUUUAUGCGUUUCAAGACAUCCAGCACGUCCUCCUCUGUAAUAUGGACAUUUUUCAAGAUGUCACCAUCUAUUUCCCUUCAUUCUAUAUCUUCCAUGCCCUUUUCCACAGUAAACACUGAUGCAAAAUACUCAUUUUGUAUCUUCAAUAUUUCCUCAAAACGAUUUCACCAUCCAAGGUAUUUAUCUGGUAAACCUCUAUUGCAAUCCCUCUGUGGUUAUGUUAGGUAAGGACAUCAAAACAUACCAUGGCCAAUUACUUUCAGCACCUGCAUGCUAAUGUUUAGGGAGAACAAGGACACCUAGGUUCCUUUGAUCACCACCACUUCCCAACCUCCCACUGUUUAAGAAAAAAUCUCGAUGAAACCUUCUCAGGUUCUGAUUGACAUGGACUAUGAAUCAACACUUAUUGGCACUGGGAUGGUGAGGAGA